RNAcentral lists this long non-coding RNA (250 nucleotides) under Lathyrus oleraceus (garden pea). RNAcentral's name for it is "Pisum sativum (pea) long non-coding RNA (PSAT_LNC019723)". Lineage: Eukaryota; Viridiplantae; Streptophyta; Magnoliopsida; Fabales; Fabaceae. The record is from RNAcentral.
AGUUAGUAGGUUAGAAGUUGGUUUUUUUUUUGCUUUUUUUUUUGCUUUUUUCAAGACAUUCUUUGGAGAACACUCAACCCACUUAUUACAAGCAUGGAUCCUUGAACCAAAACAUCUUCCAAAGGAAGGAAAGAAGGUCAAGUUUCCACACAAUACCAUGAAAGAGGGGAAACUUACAAUCUCACUAACUAGAAUGCUUAUGCCUUUUAUGUCACAAAUUUAGCGCUAUGUUAAGCAAUUGUAAUUGGAC